RNAcentral lists this ribosomal RNA (340 nucleotides) under unidentified. RNAcentral's name for it is "Heteropterna perdistincta partial 16S ribosomal RNA". The record is from RNAcentral.
UUUUUUAAUUGAAAACUUGUAUGAAUGGUUGAAUGAAAUAUAUUCUGUAUCUUAAAAAUUUAAUUAUAAUUUUAUUUUUUAGUUAAAAAGCUAAAAUUUUUUUAAAAGACGAGAAGACCCUAUAAAGUUUUAUAUACUUUUUGAAAUAAUUUAUUUAAUUAUUUUAAAAUUUUUUUGAUAGGUAUAUUUUAUUGGGGUGAUAAUAAAAUUUAAUAAACUUUUAUUUUUUAAAACAUAAAUUAAUGAACUGAUGAUCCUUUAUUAAUGAUUAAAAAUUUAAAUUACUUUAGGGAUAACAGCGUAAUUUUUUUUUUAAGUUCAAAUUUAUAAAAAAGUUUGC